GCCCCCCUUCCACUCCGGUCUCUCAAGAAGGAGAAUCCUCGAGCCCCUCUUCCACUCCGGUCUCUCAAGAAGGAGAAUCCACGAGGCCCCCUUCUACUCCGGUCUCUCAAGAUUCAGACCCCACAAGCCCCCCUUCCACUCCGGUCUCUCAAGAAGCAGAAUCCACGAGGCCCCCUUCCACUCCGCUCUCUCAAGAUAACAUGGCAACAGCAAGGGUCAAACUAAAUGUACCCAAAGGAGUGAAUCUUGAGGACCCCAAAGUGUACGAAGCCAUUUUAGAGCAGAUCCGGGAGCACCUCUCCAAGAACUUUCCAAUGGACGGUGUUAAUCUGCGCUGGAGAAGACAAGACGGAGAGAUAUUCCACAAGGAGGAAGAGGAGGAGGAGGAGGAGAAGGAGAAGUACUUCGAGCCGUGAGAUACCAGCACCCACAAUGACAAGCGAGGGCUUUCAGCGAUAGAGCCGUCGAUGCGGGCUCUGCCGUGUGGUAGAUGACUGCAUCUGGAGUUUUGAGUCCUGAGCUGAGGGUGCUAAUGAAAGUCAAGGUCAUCUACCACACGGUACAGCCCACAUCAAGAGGGCUCUAUCACUAUUAAAACAUGAUUUAAUUCUUUAUUUUCUCUUAAAAAAAAAACAACAACUUUAAAACCUAUAUUUACGUUGAACUUCUGAUAUUUCGGCAGAUAACCUUCCGCUGAGGAAGAUAGUCCCUAACAUAAUUAGAAUAGAAAAAUGACAUGCGCGUAGAUAAAACCGUUAUUAUCAUUAUUAUUAUUAUGACAUUGCCAGAUAAAUUAACUGUAGGCUUGUUGAAUAGUCUGUGUAGUAUUGAGGCAGACUCAAAACUUGUUAGAGGCGGGGCGUCAUUCAAGCUGGCAGGGAGUGGAUUGGCUGCUGUGGAAAGAACUGAAGCAGGGUUGGCAGUUUAACUGGCUGGUUUUGAUGGAGGGUGUUGUUUGGAUCCAGCUGAUGACAGAAUUGUGGACCAGUCGUGUCUUUCCUGUUGAUUUUCUGUGAAUUGAGCCUUCAUUACGCUGUCCUGUCACACACAUGAUUUUGCUUGUCUCUAGACCAACGUCAGAAAGUGUGUUUAAGUAGUUUUUUAUGUUAUCAGAUUAGUUGUAGAUUAGAGGGUUAAGGGAGAAAGCUGGUAUUUAUCCACAGAUUGAUUUAAAAUGUAAUUCACAGCUGAGCACUUCAACGUUGCAACAUUCCGGAAGCCCGCUAGAUCUGGAAGCUGAUUGGCUGUUCGCACUCAAUUUUCUGCUGGUUAAUAUUCAUCUGACAUUAUCUACUGGUGUUUUUUUUUUUUUUUAAUUUUAUGAUAAUUUAAAUAUAUAUUCAAUUAUUUACUGGUGCUGCACAUUUAUAGUAAGUUGAUAGUGAGUGUGUGUUUUAAUGUAAUGAUAAUUUAAAUAUAUAUUCAGGGCUUCGGAUUUUCAGUUUUAACCCCUGAUACAAAAAGAUUUAAUCGGUUAACAGACAAUAAACACCAGAAAAACUGUGGAAAUGGUUAAUCUAUGCAUGUUGACUGUACCCUUUUCACAUUUAAAAAAAUCAAACCCUGUGAAUACAUUUCACAGGGCUGCUGGGCAAUGUCCUGCCUUCCUGACUUGUGUCUAUCAUUGAUUCGUUCUGAAUACUUUAAACCCACCCCAACUACUGAGUGACAGCACAUUCCUACAUUUCUAUUGGAGACUCCGCUGGCGAGAUUUAAAACGAGAUUACACUCAGGAUGGAAGCUUGUUAGCGGGAUUUCAAGCUGUAUUACAGUUAAGAUACGGAGGAUUUAAAACUGAAUUGUGACAAUGUACAUAAAUUCCUACACACAAACCCCAGAAGAAUGUUGAUGUGACCUCAGGGAUUUCGUUGUGGAAGACAGCAAAGGAAAGAAGGUACAACUUAAGUGUGCAAGUGCUGUCGAGUUACUGCUAUACAUAUUGUCACACACACACAAAAAAGCAUUUUGGAAAGUAACCAAAAACACUAAUUUCAUACAGAAUAUCAAAAACGAAAGCCCCGAAAAAAAAACGAUUAACAUAAAACUCGAAUAGCUAAAAAUUAGCACCGAAAAAUACAAUUAAUAAAACCCGAAAAACAGAAGCCCUAAAUAUAUUCAAUUAUUUACUGGUGCAGCACAUGUUUAUAUUAAGGUGAUGGGGUGUGUGUUUUUAAUUUAAUGAUAAUUUAAAUAUAUGUUCAAUUAUUUACUGGUGCAGCACAUAUUUAUAUUAAGGUGAUGGGGGGUGUGUGUUUUAGUUUAAUGAUAAUUUAAAUAUAUGUUCAAUUAUUUACUGGUGCAGCACAUAUUUAUAUUAAGGUGAGGUGUGUGUGUUUUAAUGUAGUAAAUGAUUCUAAUAGAGGUUACAUUAGUUACUGGUGCAAGUUUCUUUUAGCUUGUAAAGAAUAUAUUCAGAGUGGUAACAGAGUAAUAGGCCUCUUCCCCAUGGCAUGGCAGAGCAUGGAUUCACAGAAUGAAUGUACAAUUUGCAGUGUACUAUUAAAUCCUAUAGAGGGCACCACAAACACAUUUACUGAGGGAGGAAGGGAGCAAGCUCCUGUAUAAUUAUACAAUCACCUGGAAGGUCUUGAUGCUGCAGUACAUUACAAACAGCAGCCAGGAUACAGGUGUUGAAUUGCUUAUCAGGAGGACAGGGCUAAGGUAGAUGGCAGAUGAAGGACAGUUCUCUUUUUCACAUGAUCCUCCAGUGCAAUGACAUGGGCAGCUCUAGCCUGGGUCACUCUGAGUCUCUGUCUGGGUAAGUGAGACGAGUUGUCCUAGUGCAGCUCAGCAAGCUGGUCUCUUCCAGUCCAGGUCUGCGUUCCAACCAUGGCUGCGUUUCUACCUGGAGGAAAAGCCCUCCAGGACUGGAGCCUGUCGCAAUCCAAGUGAAGCUGCAGCAUAUACUAGCACUGUGGCGCCCCCUAUGGUCUUUAAAUAGGUCUGCAUUAUCACACAGAAAUAUAUGUGCAGUCUGCAGGGUGCAAUGCAACAUGGGGUGAAGUCAUUAAGGCUAUGAGUAGGGUGGUUUGCUACAGCUUAUGAUUUCAAUGGAAAUGUCUUAUUUUUUCUGAUAUUUAAUUUACAUUACUGUAAAAAACAUAAAAAUAACAGGGUCACUGACUCAGUUUUAUUUCCCAUUAUAGUGUAUGGGGAGCAGGGGAGGGGACCCAGAUCCAUGCAUUCAUGAAACAUGUUCCUCUCAUGCAAACACAUAGAAAUCACACGAGCUGUACCAAAGAAUAUGUGCGAUUCAUGUCAUUGUAUUGUAUGAAGGGUUGUGCAUCACAACGAUACUCUACUACUCUGUAUUUCUGAAUGUAUUUUUGCUGAUUUAUUUCAAUAAAGUUUCAAUCUCAA
Acipenser ruthenus (sterlet) is the source of this 3360-nucleotide long non-coding RNA. RefSeq lists it as uncharacterized. The transcript has 7 exons. The record is from RefSeq and is a predicted model, not a curated record. NCBI's taxonomy places the organism in Eukaryota, Metazoa, Chordata, Actinopteri, Acipenseriformes, Acipenseridae.